This 148-nucleotide unclassified non-coding RNA is filed under the name uncultured Capnodiales. RNAcentral's name for it is "sequence contains ITS1". The record is from RNAcentral. Lineage: Eukaryota; Fungi; Ascomycota; Dothideomycetes; Capnodiales.
CCGAGCGAGGGCCUCCGGCCCGACCUCCAACCCGAUGUUGACCCACACCUGUUGCCUCGGGGGCGACCCGGACGCCGACGCGCCGGGCACCCCGACGGACCAACUUAACGCUGUCUCUGUACGUCGGAGUUGAUUAGCGAAUCAAUCA